Molecule: unclassified non-coding RNA, 394 nt
Filed under: soil metagenome
Description: partial contains 5.8S ribosomal RNA, internal transcribed spacer 2, and large subunit ribosomal RNA
Rfam family: 5.8S ribosomal RNA (bases 1-122)
Source: RNAcentral
GAUGAAGAACGCAGCGAAAUGCGAUACUUGGUGUGAAUUGCAGAAUCCCGUGAACCAUCGAGUCUUUGAACGCAAGUUGCGCCCGAAGCCAUCAGGUUGAGGGCACGUCUGCCUGGGCGUCACAUAUCGUUGCCCAAUGCCUAUUGCAGUGCAAUAGGAAUUUCUAGGGCGAAUGAUGGCUUCCCGUGAGCGUUGUUGCCUCGCGGUUGGUUGAAAAUCGAGUCCUUGGUAGGGUGUGCCAUGGUAGAUGGUGGUCGAGUUAGAACGAUACCGAUCAUGUGCAUGCUCCCCAAAAUAUGGCCUCUAUGACCCACACGCGUCUUUUGACGCUCAUGACGAGACCUCAGGUCAGGCGGGGCUACCCGCUGAAUUUAAGCAUAUCAAUAGCGGAGGA